RNAcentral lists this ribosomal RNA (1343 nucleotides) under uncultured bacterium. RNAcentral describes it as "16S ribosomal RNA". It matches the Rfam family "Bacterial small subunit ribosomal RNA", at positions 28 to 1378 of the family's 1533-position model. The record is from RNAcentral.
GACGAACGCUGGCGGCGUGCUUAACACAUGCAAGUCGAACGGAAAGGCCCUGCUUUUGUGGGGUGCUCGAGUGGCGAACGGGUGAGUAACACGUGAGUAACCUGCCCUUGACUUUGGGAUAACUUCAGGAAACUGGGGCUAAUACCGGAUAGGAGCUCCUGCUGCAUGGUGGGGGUUGGAAAGUUUCGGCGGUUGGGGAUGGACUCGCGGCUUAUCAGCUUGUUGGUGGGGUAGUGGCUUACCAAGGCUUUGACGGGUAGCCGGCCUGAGAGGGUGACCGGCCACAUUGGGACUGAGAUACGGCCCAGACUCCUACGGGAGGCAGCAGUGGGGAAUAUUGCACAAUGGGCGGAAGCCUGAUGCAGCAACGCCGCGUGCGGGAUGACGGCCUUCGGGUUGUAAACCGCUUUCGCCUGUGACGAAGCGUGAGUGACGGUAAUGGGUAGAGAAGCACCGGCUAACUACGUGCCAGCAGCCGCGGUGAUACGUAGGGUGCGAGCGUUGUCCGGAUUUAUUGGGCGUAAGGGGCUCGUAGGUGGUUGAUCGCGUCGGAAGUGUAAUCUUGGGGCUUAACCCUGAGCGUGCUUUCGAUACGGGUUGACUUGAGGAAGGUAGGGGAGAAUGGAAUUCCUGGUGGAGCGGUGGAAUGCGCAGAUAUCAGGAGGAACACCAGUGGCGAAGGCGGUUCUCUGGGCCUUUCCUGACGCUGAGGAGCGAAAGCGUGGGGAGCGAACAGGCUUAGAUACCCUGGUAGUCCACGCUGUAAACGGUGGGUACUAGGUGUGGGGUCCAUUCCACGGGUUCCGUGCCGUAGCUAACGCUUUAAGUACCCCGCCUGGGGAGUACGGCCGCAAGGCUAAAACUCAAAGGAAUUGACGGGGCCCCGCACAAGCGGCGGAGCAUGCGGAUUAAUUCGAUGCAACGCGUAGAACCUUACCUGGGUUUGACAUGGAUCGGGAGCGCUCAGAGAUGGGUGUGCCUCUUUUGGGGUCGGUUCACAGGUGGUGCAUGGCUGUCGUCAGCUCGUGUCGUGAGAUGUUGGGUUAAGUCCCGCAACGAGCGCAACCCUUGUUCACUGUUGCCAGCACGUUAUGGUGGGGACUCAGUGGAGACCGCCGGGGUCAACUCGGAGGAAGGUGGGGAUGAUGUCAAGUCAUCAUGCCCCUUAUGUCCAGGGCUUCACGCAUGCUACAAUGGCUGGUACAGAGAGUGGCGAGCCUGUGAGGGUGAGCGAAUCUCGGAAAGCCGGUCUCAGUUCGGAUUGGGGUCUGCAACUCGACCUCAUGAAGUCGGAGUCGCUAGUAAUCGCAGAUCAGCAACGCUGCGGUGAAUACGUUCCCGGG